UCUUGCCAUACUAGCAAGUUUUCUUUAUGUUUGUGACCUUCAUUUGCCAAAAAUCCAUGCCACAGAUGUGACUAAUUCGCGUCGUUGACUUGUAGCAAGUAUCUGCAAUCUUCAAUAAAAAUUCGAAGAGGAUGAUCCUGUAUGUCGUCUUCUUUGAUAAGCUUGACAGCAAACAGACCAUCUAUUUUCACUUCUAUCUCUUAAUUUAAACUUUGGACAUGUUCGAAUAUGUGAAGAGUCCUCUACAUCAUCAUCACAUGAUUGUUCUCAUUUUUUGUUUCUCAGGAAGGCGAAGUUUCCAUAUAUUAGUUCAUCUCCUAUCAACUGGAGUAGUAGCAUCAUCACAGGUGAAUACCCUCAUCAUUGUGUCUUUUUCUAUUUAUAGGGAACAUAUUCCAAAAAUAAAGCUAGCAGUACAGGUACAUGAAUAUAUUCUAUGCGUUUUCGUAUGCUUGUUUAACAAUGCAGUAGCAACAUUCUCUUAUAUUUCAAUUAUUUGUA
Molecule: non-coding RNA, 501 nt
Organism: Nicotiana tabacum (common tobacco)
Lineage: Eukaryota; Viridiplantae; Streptophyta; Magnoliopsida; Solanales; Solanaceae
Source: RefSeq, a predicted model, not a curated record